GAGGGUAUAGCUCAGUGGUAGAGUACAUGCUUAGCGUGCCUGAGGGCCUCGGUUCAAUACCCAAUACCUCUA
This is a transfer RNA of Camelus ferus (Wild Bactrian camel), 72 nucleotides long. It matches the Rfam family "tRNA". Rfam says of the family: Transfer RNA (tRNA) molecules are approximately 80 nucleotides in length. Their secondary structure includes four short double-helical elements and three loops (D, anti-codon, and T loops). Lineage: Eukaryota; Metazoa; Chordata; Mammalia; Artiodactyla; Camelidae. The record is from Rfam.